GAUGAACGCUGGCGGCGUGCCUAAUACAUGCAAGUCGAGCGAACGGACGAGAAGCUUGCUUCUCUGAUGUUAGCGGCGGACGGGUGAGUAACACGUGGAUAACCUACCUAUAAGACUGGGAUAACUUCGGGAAACCGGAGCUAAUACCGGAUGAUAUUUUGAACCGCAUGGUUCAAAAGUGAAAGACGGUCUUGCUGUCACUUAUAGAUGGAUCCGCGCUGCAUUAGCUAGUUGGUAAGGUAACGGCUUACCAAGGCAACGAUGCAUAGCCGACCUGAGAGGGGGAUCGGCCACACUGGAACUGAGACACGGUCCAGACUCCUACGGGAGGCAGGAGUAGGGAAUCUUCCGCAAUGGGCGAAAGCCUGACGGAGCAACGCCGCGUGAGUGAUGAAGGUCUUCGGAUCGUAAAACUCUGUUAUUAGGGAAGAACAUAUGUGUAAGUAACUGUGCACAUCUUGACGGUACCUAAUCAGAAAGCCACGGCUAACUACGUG
Molecule: ribosomal RNA, 497 nt
Filed under: uncultured bacterium
Lineage: Bacteria
Description: partial 16S ribosomal RNA
Rfam family: Bacterial small subunit ribosomal RNA
Source: RNAcentral